Molecule: long non-coding RNA, 3881 nt
Organism: Macrobrachium nipponense
Lineage: Eukaryota; Metazoa; Arthropoda; Malacostraca; Decapoda; Palaemonidae
Exons: 4
Source: RefSeq, a predicted model, not a curated record
GAGGCUCCGAGAUCAUCAAAUACAUCAAUCUACCAUACCAAGCAUGGCAAGAAUCCAUUCUAGGACAUAUUUGUGGAUUCUAUUGGAGGUUUUAAAAGGUUGCUGUGAUCCAGUCAUCUGAAUUCAGUUUAGCACAUCUUUCUGGCUGUUACCUCAUGGAGCUGUAGGUGAAUACUAGUUCCCUCAUCCAUUUCAGUGGUGCCAGUAAUGCUGGACAUCUUGCUGAAAUUGCAAACCUCCUUUCUGACUCUGACAGCAUACCUUUUAUCCAUAUGCUUGCCAGAACACACACAAUGGGUCUAUCAGCUCUUGAGAUAGUGUAAAGCUGCCUUAUUGCCACUAGUUCAUGUACAAGAAGUUCUUCUUUCACAGCAAGAUAUUCAGUAUGCUUUGGAAAGGUUGAAAUUACUUUGCCUGCUGGCACCUUCCGGGUUGCAAAUUGCAGUUGCAGUGUGGCCACCCACCUGAAGGAGGAAAAGAAAGGAAGAAAAGGACCCAGGGGGAUGAGGUAUGGGAUCCCAGGUAACAAACCCAAGGUCUCAACAGUAAGAUAAAUCUUCUCGUGCCAGCUGGAAAUGACGAACGUAGGACCUCCUAGGAGAAUGAGACAAGAAUGCCCUCACCAGUACACGUAAAGAAAAGUGAAGAAUUUCCCAAGAAAUUCCAACGCCAGAAGUAGUGGAAGACGGGUAGCAUUUCUCUUGAAAUGCAGUUGAGACCAAAAACUCUUCAUAAGAACUAGCCAUUAUGUCACAAACCCAUCUGUGGUGUCACACAGCAGCAUACUCUUACAAAAGGGAAAAUAUUUUGUGUAAAAGCAGAUUAAUCAUUGUUAAACAUAAUUGUAAAGUAAACUUUGCAAGUUACCACAAGGAAGGGGUUCAGAGGCUUGAAAAAACACACUGCUGUCAACUGCAUUCAUUGUUGUUCUCAAUAAAGUCAAGCAAAUAGACCAAGUUCUUAUAGUCUGGACUGACUUGGGUCCCAACUCUCAUCACAGCACCAGUGAGCAUACCAACAAGUAGUGAAGUGGCAACUCUGGGAGGGGAAAGUGAAUGCAGAGGGGCUCCCAAGAUCUGAAUGGGAACACUUGUUCAUACACAAACAAACCUUUGGUCUUAACAGUAGGAUAAUUUCUAGCGCCUAGCUGGAUCAAGUUAAAUUGCAGAUGAAAGCAAGGAAUGUUGUGAGAUCUGGCAACGCGUGUGUAUAUCGGGUGAAGAGCUGUCAAAUACAACGCAUCUACGCCACCGUGUCAGUCUUUUCUUAAGCGCCUGGGCGAGAGUUGUGGUUGACCUCUCUCAGCCUUUACCCGGUUCAUUGCCCGUUUCGCUUGUGUUUUAGUGUGUGUGUAUGCCGUUAUGAUGGCUUAUUCUGCUCCAUCCCGGCCUCGUCAACGUAUGUGCCCGGAACUCCAGGCUUUCCAUGUUCUGGUUUUUUGGCUUCGGCUGUAACUGAUCCCCACGACACUUGUAGUAGGUGUCGCUCUAAUGUUUGUACAAUAACGAAUCCCUGCACGGAAUGCCAUGCGUGGCCUAGAGAUCAGUGGAGGUUAUUUUAUAGUAGAGGGAGCAUUGUAGGGUUUCUACUCUCCCUUCGUGGGAGGGGUUUGUCUUCUCCUCUUCCCGAUGCUUCAUCACCUGCUGCUGUAACACCCCAUACACCCCUUCCUUUUCUUCCAUCAAUUCGUUGUUGGAAGUAUCAGGAGGCCCUCAGGCUGAUUUAUGUAAUGUAGCCCAUUCAUCUUUGGGAGUUAAUUUGAUUCCCGAGAGGGAGGAGCCUUUUUCAUCAUUGUCUUUUUUGCAGAGUCGGAGGCGUCCAAAAUGGCGGCGCUUUGGGGGACGCUUGGGCUAUGGGGUUCACUGUCCUUGGAGAGUUUGCUGACACACUUCAUGGAUCCUCAAUACCCCCACCUCAUGCUGUCCAGGCCUUCCCCCCUCUCCUGGCCUCCUCUUCGUGGGUAGCCAAGGUCAGCCAUUUUGUAUUGCUCCGCCAGUGACAAUUGCUGCUUCUUCAAGUCAGAGGGAAGACCGUGGUGUCGGCUCCGCUAGUGACGUCACGGGGUCAGUCAUUUUGUAUCCCUCCACCAGUGUGUCUGCUUCCCGUUUGGAUCGAGGGGAAGCCGUGACGUCUCUUCCAUUGAUGAGUCGCUCCCAGUCGUCUCCACUGCGCUGCCUCACUCAGUUUGCUGCCGUGAUGUCAUCUCUGCCAUCCAGUUUGCUGCAUCUCCCUUCCCUGUCAUCAGACCCUUCUCUUGCUGAUCUGUCUGAAGCUUUAUGCCAGGCUGGUUCUUAAGAGAUUGGAGUCUUUUAGAAAAUAAGUUGGCUGCCGUGUUGGCUGAGAGGACUGGAAGCAAGCGUGUUGCAUCGCCCUUUCCUCCUGUGAAGAGAUUGUGUAAGGAGCCAAUGCUGUCUUCCUCUCCCUCUUCCCCAUCGCCGUUUCGACAUAUCAAGCGUUGGAAGGUUCUUCCAAGGACUUUGCCCUCUCUUUGUCUGUGAGUGAGGAGCAACAUGCCUGUGUUCCUUUGUGUGUUGGUGUUGUGUAGAGUGUUAGUGUAUCUUCACCUGUUCAAUCUGCAGAGGCUGCUUCGUCCUCUGCAUCGAGUAGCAAGCAUGUUGCAACCUCCCUCGUUCGUGUACGUGUUGCAGGCGCUCCCACUUCUUCUCCAGGGCCUAUUUGUCGCCGUAAGGAUCUCAAGGCACCUGUCAAGAGGUUGAAGGUUGUGAGUGUGGAGUUGGUGCAGCAAGAGUGUUUGCCUGCCCCUCUCCCUGGUACUUCUAGGAGUUUGACUCCGAGGGAUUCUGAUUAUAUCUCAAGUGUUCGGGAUUCUUCACCGGCACAUGUUCGUAGGUCUGGCACGCCCGUGCCCAUUCACGGCCAUGUGAGAGUCAUAUCUGUUGGGAGAUGUGCGUAGUGAUGUCCCUAGUGUUGUGAGUGGUUUGUUGCAGGAGUUGGUGCUUGAAUCUAGCCAAGACAGGUUAGUUGGUGUUUCAGGCUGUUUGGCUGCUGGUUCUUCCAUUAAUUUAAACGAGGAAGGCGUCAGUCUCCAUUGCUGGAGCAGGAGGAGGGAGGCACACGAGUUUUUGUCUUCCUUUACAGAAGUUGUCGGCCUCAUUCGUGUAUUCAACAAUUUUGAGAGUAGCACUCGGGCUCAGUCAUCUUACAUUCCUUCCUGCUUGGGAGCCUUGCUGGGAGCUACGCAGGAUCUGAAGUCAUCGUUUCAACUUCCCUUGUUGGGGCAUGUCCAAUCAGUCUUGCAUAAGGCCCCCAGUCAGUCUUGCAUAAGGUUAACGCCUCUGUUUCAGAUCGGGACGGUUCGCUUUGCUCAAGGGGCUCUGCCAAGCUGCUACCCCCACCUCUCACAAGGUAUAGGAAGUACUAUGCUACGAACUCUGCUUUUUUGAUGUCGCGUCAUCUUAACCUGGACAUCAUUUAACUGAAGCCGGGAUGAUUUUGGAGCAGGUGAGGUCGGUGGCUCCAUCCUCUUCUCCACAGGAUGCCUCAGCGUUGGAGUCUACGGCAGCCUCCAUGUUGCAGACGGUUUCUUGGCUGGAUUUCUGGUCUACGGUCAUUGCCAAGAUAGCUUCUGACAGGUCCCCAGAGGGGUUGGCGAGUGCUUCUCCUCUUGCCAGUUUAUUGCAGUCAGGAGGAGAGGCAUUUUCGUAUGUGGCUCACCUCAUUGUUAAUUUAUGGGCUAACCUUCUCUUGGUUAAAAGAGACUUGGCUUUAUUCAAAAUUGAAAGGUCGGUUGACCCCGAGUCUUUGCUGGCAUUGAGGAAUGGAGAUCUGUUGGAGUCUUAAUUUCUGUUCCCUCGGACCAAGCUGGAGGAUGCAAUAGACCGGCGCCAGGCUGACACCAAGGACAGAUUGGCAUACUAGGC